Long non-coding RNA from Dalotia coriaria, 757 nucleotides. RefSeq lists it as uncharacterized. Lineage: Eukaryota; Metazoa; Arthropoda; Insecta; Coleoptera; Staphylinidae. The record is from RefSeq and is a predicted model, not a curated record. The transcript is spliced from 3 exons.
UUCUCGUUAAGUUUUCCAUCAUAAUGCACCUACGAUUGCAUCCGCAUCCUGCCAAAAUGUCGUUGAAGUAUUUUUUACUCACCUGUUUGAUUAUUACUCAAGCCAGUUGUCAAAAAUUGAAUAAAACCAUUGAAGAAGUACCAGAAGAUGUGGAGGAAACGCCAGAGUCCAAAGUGAUGGAUACCAUUAAGCGCACAUAUACAGAGUGUGCUAGUAAAGGUGACAUGUUUAAAUGUUUCAAGAUAAGAGCUCUUAAAAUGGCGCAGAGGGCGAUGAAAUCAAAGGAAAUUGAGGUUAUAACUGGUAUUGAUGUAAAACAAGUGAAGAAUUUGACGAGGCAGUCCAGAACUUUAGAUCGCACUGAAAGAAUGAAUGAAGAUCAACUGCAAGUGCUCGAAAAUGAAAGCAUCAAUGGUUUACUACUAGAUGUCGCUAAUAAUUUUAUGGAAUCUCACGUGAUUAAUAUAAAUCUCCCAAAACUGGUUGAAGAAGCGCGUGGUAGAAGGAAGAAAAAUCGUUUCGCGACGCCAUUUUGGCAGCGCUUGCAGUCAAAGGUAUCAUCAUGUCGAUGACCUAUAAAAGCAUCGCAGUGGUCGCCGGCACAGCGCUAAUCAUAGGCAAAAUGGCACUUGUUCUCGCCGCCAUCCUCGGCCUGAAGAAGCUGGUCAGCGGCGAAAAGGAGAAAACCACCGUCGAGAUCGUCAAGCAUCCGACGCAUUCCUCAAGCCACACACAUUCGAGCUCCUUUGAGGAAGGU